UCGAACAAGGCCAUUAUCUGCACCGGAUCAGGGAGCUGUAUAUAAUGAGAUGCUUUUGUCUCCACCCUAACAAUGGGAGUUGUCCCAAAGGCAGGAGACAAGCAUAGGUCCAAAAUAAGCCCAUAGAAACGCAUUUGUUUAUUUUGGCAAGAGUGAAACCUCUGGCUCGUCCUCUCUCCAUGACUAUGGGCUCGAUUGAGUGGUAAGAGAAAAGCAACCGAAUGUAGAUGAAAGUCGAGGAGUGAAGUCUGGGAAGGUGCAUUUGCGACAGCCGAAAGUCGGACUGUGGUUUUCCAACAGCAAGAGAGAAGCUUGAUGAAAACCAGCUCCAGAGUGCUUAGGACCUCUGACUGGGGGCGAAUAUUCACCUUCCAACAGGACAAGACCCUAAGCACAUAGCCAAGACAACGAAGACAACACUGGAGUGGCUUUGGGACAAGUCUCUAAAUGUCCUUCAGUGGCCCAUCCAGAGCCUGGACUUAAACCCUAUCGAACAUCUCUGGAGAGUCCUGAAAAUGGCUGUGCAGCAACGCUCCCCAUCCAAUCUAACAGAGCUUGAGAGGAUCUGCAAAGAAGACUGGGAGAAACUCCCCAAAUAUAUAUAUGUGCCAAGCUUGUAGCGUCAUACCCAAGAACACGCUACAAGCCUUGAUGACAGCUUUGCACACUCUGCAUUCACUCAACCAGUUUGGUGAGGUAGUCAUCUAGAAUGCAUUUCAAGAAGACUCAAAUAAUGGGUCUGAAUACUUAUGUAAAUGUGAAACAUAUAUGUGUAUGUAUGUAUAUGUGUGUAUGUACCAGUCAAAAGUUAGGACACACCUACUCAUUCAAGGGUUUUUCUUUAUUUUUACAAUUUUCUACAUUGUCUAAUAAUAUUGAAGACAUCAAAACAAUGAAAUAACACAUAUGUAAAUCAUGUAACCAAAAACAAAAGUGUUAAACAAAUCAAAUAUAUUUUAGAUUCUUCAAAGUAGCCACCCUUUGCCUUGAUGACAGCUUUGCACACUCUUGACAUUCUCUCAACCAGUUUGAGGUAGUCAUGUGGAAUGCAUUUCAAUUUACAUUUAACAGGUUUGCCUUGUUAAAGUUACUUUGGAAUUUCUUUCCUUAAUGCGUUUGAGCCAAUCAGUUGUCCAAAUGUUUGGCUAUCGAUUUAUAUCUGUGUUUUCAGCUAAAAAGGGAAAAAUCUGACAUUUGUUCAAUGAAUGUGAAUCUGAGAGAAUUUUGGGAAAACCUUGCAGAAUACUUAUUUAACUUUUUGAACACUACCCAUGUUUUUGACAUGAAGGAUAUAUGUUACUAUUGCAAUGAUAACAAGACCAUUGAAAGGAUUGUCAAUUUUUUUUAUUCUUGUUGUCAAAUACUUUAUACACCAAACAAAUUCCAGAAUUCUAUACCGAAAUUACAAAUAUUUUUGAUUGAAUUUAAUCUUGUUAAGACAUCCCUAGUUAAUAACAAUAAUAAUAACAUCUUAUUAUAAUGACUCAGGAAGAUGUUUUCAGAUGGACACAAUUGCACUAGAAUUGUCAUUAAAAAAAUGUAUGUAUACAUUUUUAGUUUUUUUUUCUAUGUAUUUAGUAUUUUCCUGUUUAUACCUGUGUUGUGUUAGACAUGUUUGAUGUAGCGAUGUAAGUUGUUGAUAGUUUUGUAUUAUGUUUUUUUUUUAAAUACAUAAAUAAAAAAUGCAGAGAGAGAAAGUUA
This is a long non-coding RNA of Oncorhynchus keta (chum salmon), 1701 nucleotides long. RefSeq lists it as uncharacterized. The transcript has 2 exons. NCBI's taxonomy places the organism in Eukaryota, Metazoa, Chordata, Actinopteri, Salmoniformes, Salmonidae. The record is from RefSeq and is a predicted model, not a curated record.